This 1373-nucleotide ribosomal RNA is filed under the name Escherichia coli. Its description in RNAcentral is "partial 23S ribosomal RNA". It matches the Rfam family "Bacterial large subunit ribosomal RNA", at positions 1576 to 2925 of the family's 2925-position model. The record is from RNAcentral. Lineage: Bacteria; Pseudomonadati; Pseudomonadota; Gammaproteobacteria; Enterobacterales; Enterobacteriaceae.
ACUACGGUGCUGAAGCAACAAAUGCCCUGCUUCCAGGAAAAGCCUCUAAGCAUCAGGUAACAUCAAAUCGUACCCCAAACCGACACAGGUGGUCAGGUAGAGAAUACCAAGGCGCUUGAGAGAACUCGGGUGAAGGAACUAGGCAAAAUGGUGCCGUAACUUCGGGAGAAGGCACGCUGAUAUGUAGGUGAAGUCCCUCGCGGAUGGAGCUGAAAUCAGUCGAAGAUACCAGCUGGCUGCAACUGUUUAUUAAAAACACAGCACUGUGCAAACACGAAAGUGGACGUAUACGGUGUGACGCCUGCCCGGUGCCGGAAGGUUAAUUGAUGGGGUCAGCGCAAGCGAAGCUCUUGAUCGAAGCCCCGGUAAACGGCGGCCGUAACUAUAACGGUCCUAAGGUAGCGAAAUUCCUUGUCGGGUAAGUUCCGACCUGCACGAAUGGCGUAAUGAUGGCCAGGCUGUCUCCACCCGAGACUCAGUGAAAUUGAACUCGCUGUGAAGAUGCAGUGUACCCGCGGCAAGACGGAAAGACCCCGUGAACCUUUACUAUAGCUUGACACUGAACAUUGAGCCUUGAUGUGUAGGAUAGGUGGGAGGCUUUGAAGUGUGGACGCCAGUCUGCAUGGAGCCGACCUUGAAAUACCACCCUUUAAUGUUUGAUGUUCUAACGUGGACCCGUAAUCCGGGUUGCGGACAGUGUCUGGUGGGUAGUUUGACUGGGGCGGUCUCCUCCUAAAGAGUAACGGAGGAGCACGAAGGUUGGCUAAUCCUGGUCGGACAUCAGGAGGUUAGUGCAAUGGCAUAAGCCAGCUUGACUGCGAGCGUGACGGCGCGAGCAGGUGCGAAAGCAGGUCAUAGUGAUCCGGUGGUUCUGAAUGGAAGGGCCAUCGCUCAACGGAUAAAAGGUACUCCGGGGAUAACAGGCUGAUACCGCCCAAGAGUUCAUAUCGACGGCGGUGUUUGGCACCUCGAUGUCGGCUCAUCACAUCCUGGGGCUGAAGUAGGUCCCAAGGGUAUGGCUGUUCGCCAUUUAAAGUGGUACGCGAGCUGGGUUUAGAACGUCGUGAGACAGUUCGGUCCCUAUCUGCCGUGGGCGCUGGAGAACUGAGGGGGGCUGCUCCUAGUACGAGAGGACCGGAGUGGACGCAUCACUGGUGUUCGGGUUGUCAUGCCAAUGGCACUGCCCGGUAGCUAAAUGCGGAAGAGAUAAGUGCUGAAAGCAUCUAAGCACGAAACUUGCCCCGAGAUGAGUUCUCCCUGACUCCUUGAGAGUCCUGAAGGAACGUUGAAGACGACGACGUUGAUAGGCCGGGUGUGUAAGCGCAGCGAUGCGUUGAGCUAACCGGUACUAAUGAACCGUGAGGCUUAACCUU